GAACAGGAUUAGAUACCCUGGUAGUCCACGCCGUAAACGGUGGGCGCUAGAUGUGGGGACCCUUCCAUGGUUUCUGCGUCGCAGCUAACGCAUUAAGCGCCCCGCCUGGGGAGUACGGUCGCAAGACUAAAACUCAAAGGAAUUGACGGGGGCCCGCACAAGCAGCGGAGCAUGCGGCUUAAUUCGAUGCAACGCGAAGAACCUUACCUAGACUUGACAUAUACGGAAAACAUGCAGAGAUGUAUGGUCCUAACGGGCCGUUUACAGGUGGUGCAUGGUUGUCGUCAGCUCGUGUCGUGAGAUGUUGGGUUAAGUCCCGCAACGAGCGCAACCCUCGUUCUAUGUUGCCAGCACGUAAAGGUGGGGACUCAUAGGAGACUGCCGGGGUCAACUCGGAGGAAGGUGGGGAUGACGUCAAAUCAUCAUGCCCCUUAUGUCUAGGGCUGCACGCAUGCUACAAUGGCUGGUACAGAGGGCUGCGAUACCGCAAGGUGGAGCGAAUCCCAAAAAGCCAGUCUCAGUUCGGAUUGGGGUCUGCAACUUGACCCCAUGAAGUUGGAGUUGCUAGUAAUCGCAGAUCAGCAACGCUGCGGUGAAUACGUUCCCGGGCCUUGUACACACCGCCCGUCACGUCACGAAAGUCGGUACACCCGAAGCCGGUGGCCUAACCGUAAGGAA
Molecule: ribosomal RNA, 678 nt
Filed under: uncultured Actinomycetes bacterium
Lineage: Bacteria; Bacillati; Actinomycetota; Actinomycetes
Description: bacterial SSU rRNA
Rfam family: Bacterial small subunit ribosomal RNA
Source: RNAcentral